UGCAGCAGCAGCAAUUGAGUUUUCAAUUUUCUUUUCGUUUGGUUUUGGGUGUUUUAGAUUAGGGUCUGGUUUCUCUUUGUUAUUUCUCCUCUCCUAUUUGCAGUUUUCUUUUAUACAGAUGAGUUGCUUUUCUUGUAUAAGUCCUAGCAGAAAGGACAUAAGCAAAAUUGAAGACAGUAACGGCCUUCGACCCAACUCUCGCUAUUCUCUUGAGUCUUCUGAACGUAACAGGGAAGGAAGCUUCCAAUCAACUGCUGCCCGUAGUUUUACAUUUCGUGAACUUGCAACUGCAACACGAAACUUCAAGCCUAAUAAUAUGAUAGGGGAAGGGGGCUUCGGAAGGGUUUAUAAAGGGCGCUUAGACACAGGCCAGAUUGUUGCUGUCAAACAACUUGAUCAAAAUGGUGUUCAGGGGAAUCAGGAAUUCAUUGUGGAGGUUCUCAUGUUGAGCCUUCUACACCAUUCCAAUCUUGUCAACUUGAUUGGUUACUGUGCUGAUGGAGAUCAAAGGCUCUUAGUUUACGAAUACAUGCCAAUGGGAUGUUUAGAGGAUCAUUUGUUCGAUCUGGACCCUGGCAAAGAGUCAUUGGAAUGGAAUACACGGAUGAAGAUUGCCAUUGGUGCUGCUCGGGGCCUUGAGUAUCUGCAUUGCAAGGCAAAUCCACCUGUUAUAUACCGUGAUUUGAAGUCUUCAAAUAUUUUAUUGGAUAAUGACUUUAACCCCAAGCUGUCUGAUUUUGGUCUUGCCAAAUUGGGUCCUGUUGGUGACAAAACUCAUGUUUCAACAAGGGUGAUGGGGACACAUGGCUACUGUGCCCCAGAAUAUGCCAUGAGUGGAAAGCUGACGCUCAAGUCCGAUGUUUAUGGGUUUGGUGUGGUUCUGUUGGAAUUGAUCACAGGAAGAAUGGCAAUUGACUGCACCAAGGCACAUGCAGAGCAGAAUCUGGUUUCUUGGUCCCGUCCCUACUUCAAAGAUCGGAGGAAGUUCGUUCAGUUGGUUGACCCCCUGCUGCAAGGCCGCUUUCCCAUUCGCUCUUUGCACCAUGCAAUUUCCAUAACUGUGAUGUGCCUUCAAGAGCAGCCGAAUUUUCGGCCUCUGAUGGGGGAUGUUGUUGUUGCUUUGGAAUACUUGUCAUCUCAACCUUACAAACCAGAGGCACACAUCAGUCUGAAACACAGUCCUCCAUCAUCACCUUCACAGCAAGAUAGUAAAAAGAUUUCUCGAGAAUCAGAUGCUAGAAAGUCUAUUUAAAGGUUGUGAAGCAGAAGAAGAAUGAGAGAUCUGAUCUGGAGGCACCAUGUAAUUUGUAUAGGAUUUGUUGCUUCAGUUGGUUACAGGAGGGAUGGACUAAGAAGAAAUAGAGAAUGUAGCCCUGUUGCUGUUCAAAGGAAUGCUGUAAGAAAAAACUUUGUUACCAGUAUCUCUAUGUAGUGAAUGCAUUAAGAAUGUGUAUAUAUGUAUAUGUAUGGGUUUAUUGUGUGGCUUGGCUUGAUGGGAUAAGGAGAUAAUCUAUACUGGAGGUCUUUGGUGCACUCUAUUUGGGCAUUGAUAUGUGUCUGCUGUUGCACACGAAUGCUUCUAAAAUUGGGUGGAGGGAUGUCAAACUGUUACUUGAGAUGGGGAGAAACUGGUAGAGAGAAAUUUUGGCCUAUUACAUCUCUUUUACAUGGUUAUAUAUCAGUAAGCAGACUUGAACCUUUUUGUUUUCUUC
RNA transcript from Telopea speciosissima, 1712 nucleotides. It is a transcript of the gene named probable serine/threonine-protein kinase PBL21, with no coding region annotated. The transcript has 6 exons. The record is from RefSeq and is a predicted model, not a curated record. NCBI's taxonomy places the organism in Eukaryota, Viridiplantae, Streptophyta, Magnoliopsida, Proteales, Proteaceae.